AACGAACGUUAGCGGCGCGCUUAACACAUGCAAGUCGCACGAGAAAGGGAGCAAUCCCCGGUACAGUGGCGCACGGGUGAGUAACACGUAGGUAAUCUUCCCUCGAGUGGUGGAUAACCUUCCGAAAGGGAGGCUAAUACAGCAUAAGACCACGGGAGCGAAAGCUUCUGAGGUCAAAGCCGGCCUCUAUACAUAAGCUGGCGCUUGAGGAUGAGCCUGCGGCCCAUCAGGUAGUUGGUAGGGUAAUGGCCUACCAAGCCUAAGACGGGCAGCUGGUCUGAGAGGAUGAUCAGCCACACUGGAACUGAGACACGGUCCAGACUCCUACGGGAGGCAGCAGUGGGGAAUCUUGCGCAAUGGGCGAAAAGGCCUGACGUAGCGACACCGCGUGAGCGAAGAAGCCCUUUGGGGUGUAAAGGACUCUGUCGGCUGGAACGAAAAAAAUAGACGGUACCAGCAAAGGAAGCAUCGGCUAACCACGUAGCCAGCAGCCGCGGUAA
RNAcentral lists this ribosomal RNA (500 nucleotides) under uncultured bacterium. RNAcentral's name for it is "partial 16S ribosomal RNA". It matches the Rfam family "Bacterial small subunit ribosomal RNA", at positions 30 to 523 of the family's 1533-position model. The record is from RNAcentral.